AUGAUGAUUUUACAUGUUUAAAAAUGGUUAGAAUAUAUCUGAUAACCCAUGAAGUUACUAGGGCGGACUGAUUAA
This is a non-coding RNA of Glossina morsitans morsitans, 75 nucleotides long. NCBI's taxonomy places the organism in Eukaryota, Metazoa, Arthropoda, Insecta, Diptera, Glossinidae. The record is from Rfam.